This 468-nucleotide ribosomal RNA is filed under the name uncultured bacterium. Its description in RNAcentral is "partial 16S ribosomal RNA". It matches the Rfam family "Bacterial small subunit ribosomal RNA", at positions 28 to 507 of the family's 1533-position model. The record is from RNAcentral.
GACGAACGCUGGCGGCGUGCUUAACACAUGCAAGUCGAACGGAAAGGCCCUGCUUUUGUGGGGUGCUCGAGUGGCGAACGGGUGAGUAACACGUGAGUAACCUGCCCUUGACUUUGGGAUAACUUCAGGAAACUGGGGCUAAUACCGGAUAGGAGCUCCUGCUGCAUGGUGGGGGUUGGAAAGUUUCGGCGGUUGGGGAUGGACUCGCGGCUUAUCAGCUUGUUGGUGGGGUAGUGGCUUACCCAGGCUUUGACGGGUAGCCGGCCUGAGAGGGUGACCGGCCACAUUGGGACUGAGAUACGGCACAGACUCCUACGGGAGGCAGCAGUGGGGAAUAUUGCACAAUGGGCGGAAGCCUGAUGCAGCAACGCCGCGUGCGGGAUGACGGCCUUCGGGUUGUAAACCGCUUUCGCCUGUGACGAAGCGUGAGUGACGGUAAUGGGUAAAGAAGCACCGGCUAACUACGUG